UGAAAUCACCAUCAUGAUCUCUUGCUAAUCCGGUUUUCUUGAAUUUAUAAACAUGAAGUAGAUAACUCUAUGUUGUCUUUCGAAAGACCAAGAAUAAGGUGAAGGAAUUACAGCACGGUUGUCUGUAGCCACUCCAGAUAUGACAAACAUUAGGUAGAACGUGAUUAUAAAUUCCAUAACAAAAGACUGCAAGUCGGAGCCGGUCGGAAGUGUUCCGGCAAAGUGAUCGUGUUUUCCCAUGAACAGUAAUCUCAGGGUACCGCUUGCUAGCGUGGCUCCGAUCACUUGUGCCGCAAUAUAUGCCGGUACCUAUCAGGAUGAGCACGAAGAAAUCAAGAGCACGUUCGUUCAAUGCAUAUAAUUCUGUUGAAUAUACCAUCUUCACCUGUCUAAGUGGGAACCUCUUGCAGGUGGCAAAAGCAAUGGUCACAGCCGGAUUAAAAUGAGCACCGGAAAUAUGGCCAACUGAGUAAACCAUAGCCAUGACGACAAGUCCCCACACUAUUGCGAUUCCCGGCUGGGUUAUCACCUCCUCCUUAUCGGCGUUCACCACCACUGCGGCACAACCGGCAAAAAUCAAGAAGUAGGUACCAAAACCCUCUGCAAUUACCUACAUAUAUUUUGAGAUAAUCAGCUAUCAGAUUGUUAUAAUUAAUUACGAGUAGCAGUUAGUUAUACAACCUACUAGCUAGCAUUUAUUAAGAAGGCAUCGAUUUCUUCAUCGUCUUCAAGAUAAAAAAAAAACAUAUCAUUGUCAAAAUGAUGUCAUUUGUCUUAACCCCUUUCAAAUUAUGAAAUCACCAUCAUGAUCUCUUGCUAAUCCGGUUUUCUUGAAUUUAUAAACAUGAAGUAGAUAACUCUAUGUUGUCUUUCGAAAGACCAAGAAUAAGGUGAAGGAAUUACAGCACGGUUGUCUGUAGCCACUCCAGAUAUGACAAACAUUAGGUAGAACGUGAUUAUAAAUUCCAUAACAAAAGACUGCAAGUCGGAGCCGGUCGGAAGUGUUCCGGCAAAGUGAUCGUGUUUUCCCAUGAACAGUAAU
Molecule: long non-coding RNA, 1042 nt
Filed under: Olea europaea (common olive)
Lineage: Eukaryota; Viridiplantae; Streptophyta; Magnoliopsida; Lamiales; Oleaceae
Description: long non-coding RNA (OEUR_LNC006383)
Source: RNAcentral